AGCAGCCGCGGUAAUUCCAGCUCCAAUAGCGUAUAUUAAAGUUGUUGCAGUUAAAAAGCUCGUAGUUGAAUUUCGGGAUUUGUCAAUUGGUCGGGCUUCACUGUCCGUACUGGUUUGAUGGAUUCCUACCUUCUGAAUAACCAGCAUGCUAUUAAGUUAGUGCGUUGGGGAAGCAGAUCUAUUACCUUGAAAAAAUUAGAGUGCUUAAAGCGGGCUAGUGCUUGAAUAGAUUAGCAUGGAAUAAUAAAAUAGGACGGCAUGGUUCUAUUUUGUUGGUUUCUAGGAUCACCGUAAUGAUUAAUAGGGAUAGUUGGGGGCAUUAGUAUUCAAUUGUCAGAGGUGAAAUUCUUGGAUUUAUUGAAGACUAACUUCUGCGAAAGCAUUUGCCAAGGAUGUUUUCAUUAAUCAAGAACGAAAGUUAGGGGAUCGAAGACGAUCAGAUACCGUCGUAGUCUUAACCAUA
This 463-nucleotide ribosomal RNA is filed under the name uncultured Acaulospora. RNAcentral's name for it is "SSU rRNA". It matches the Rfam family "Eukaryotic small subunit ribosomal RNA", at positions 569 to 1034 of the family's 1831-position model. The record is from RNAcentral. Lineage: Eukaryota; Fungi; Glomeromycota; Glomeromycetes; Diversisporales; Acaulosporaceae.